ACAGAAUGACUUCCUUCUGGGCUACAUCGAUAAGACUUUCGUCAAGUCCAAGCCGCUUGGUGUGUUGGAUCAGAUGCAUCUCAACAAGACCAUUGGUUGUGAUGACCAAUGGAAGGAUCAGAGUGGAGAUAACUAUGUCUGGUCGGUUGUGUGAAAUUGGCCUAUCAGUAAUCAGUGGAUGAUCCCAGUAUAGCUUCAGGUUUGCAUUCUCUAGUAGUGUUUGUGCAAGUGCCUGGUGGUAAACUUUUGCCAUGGCAUUGUGGCGAUCCGUGUAUUCUCUGGGAGCGAGGGUCGAACAGGAUGAAGUAAUGUGUUGGAUUGUUUCCACGGAUUGUGAGCAUUUGCGACAUAGAUCUGUUGGUAAGUUUUUUCGUGCUAUGUUUUUCAGGUAGGCUCUCGUAGGUAUCACUUGGUCCUGGAUGGCUGCCAG
Molecule: long non-coding RNA, 430 nt
Organism: Coccinella septempunctata (seven-spotted ladybird)
Lineage: Eukaryota; Metazoa; Arthropoda; Insecta; Coleoptera; Coccinellidae
Exons: 3
Source: RefSeq, a predicted model, not a curated record